Molecule: ribosomal RNA, 482 nt
Filed under: uncultured bacterium
Lineage: Bacteria
Description: partial 16S ribosomal RNA
Rfam family: Bacterial small subunit ribosomal RNA
Source: RNAcentral
AUUGAACGCUGGCGGAAUGCUUUACACAUGCAAGUCGAACGGCAGCACGGGGGCAGCCCUGGUGGCGAGUGGCGAACGGGUGAGUAAUACAUCGGAACGUGCCCGGUCGUGGGGGAUAACGUAGCGAAAGUUACGCUAAUACCGCAUACGAUCUGAGGAUGAAAGCGGGGGACCUUCGGGCCUCGCGCGAUCGGAGCGGCCGAUGUCAGAUUAGGUAGUUGGUGGGGUAAAGGCCUACCAAGCCGACGAUCUGUAGCUGGUCUGAGAGGACGACCAGCCACAAUGGGAAUGGACCCCCGCCCAGACUCCUACGGGGGGCAGGGGGGGGGAAUUUUGGAAAAGGGGGGAAAGCCUGAUCCAGCCAUUCCGCGUGGAGGAAGAAGGCCUUGGGGUUGUAAACUGCUUUUGUACGGAACAAAAAGGCUCUGGUAAAUACCGGGGGCUCAUGACGGUACCGUAAGAAAAAGCCCCGGCAAACUACG